GCCUGAGUGGCUCAGCGGUUGAGUGUCUGCCUUCAGCCCAGGGCAUUAUCCUGGAGUCUUGGGAUCGAGUCCCACAUCAGGCU
Non-coding RNA from Canis lupus familiaris (dog), 83 nucleotides. The record is from Rfam. Lineage: Eukaryota; Metazoa; Chordata; Mammalia; Carnivora; Canidae.